AUACGGAGGGUGCGAGCGUUAAUCGGAAUUACUGGGCGUAAAGGGUGCGUAGGCGGCUUGAUAAGUCGGAUGUGAAAGCCCCGGGCUUAACCUGGGAAUUGCAUUCGAUACUGUCAGGCUAGAGUAUGUCAGAGGUUGGCGGAAUUCCUGGUGUAGCGGUGAAAUGCGUAGAUAUCAGGAGGAACACCAGUGGCGAAGGCGGCUAACUUGGGCAAUACUGACGCUGAGGCACGAAAGCGUGGGGAGCAAACAGGAUUAGAAACCCUAGUAGUCC
RNAcentral lists this ribosomal RNA (274 nucleotides) under uncultured bacterium. RNAcentral's name for it is "partial 16S ribosomal RNA". It matches the Rfam family "Bacterial small subunit ribosomal RNA", at positions 523 to 796 of the family's 1533-position model. The record is from RNAcentral.